This 1148-nucleotide long non-coding RNA is filed under the name Homo sapiens (human). RNAcentral's name for it is "HSALNT0131546". The record is from RNAcentral. Lineage: Eukaryota; Metazoa; Chordata; Mammalia; Primates; Hominidae.
CUAAAAGGCAUCGAAUGAUUCUAUCGACAUUCUAUUAAAUCAGCCCCCGCGGUCUGCGUGGGGAGGAGGGCUCCAGGAGUGCCGAGUCCUGGACCUGGGUUCGGUGGCCGCCUGGAGAAGCUCCUGCUACGAACCGAACGUUUGCGCCGAUCGGACGCGGCCCUUUCUGCAGAAUUUACUCUUCUCAGCCCGAGGCUCAGACCCAGCUACUCAGACCGCCCCAGCCGGGAGAAUCCUGCCUCCCUGCCCGGGAGUCCCCGGUUCGCAGAUAUAUUACAACAAAAUUACUAAUUGGAAAAUGAAAUUGUCAAUAAAGCAUACCCCCCGCGUAUACAAUAUCCUUAAAUAUUAAGAUAUUUUAUUAGACCCAUUUCCUAACAAUAAUUUAUUGCAAUAAAACAGACACCGCAGGUCCCCUUAAAUUGUCUUUUCAUAAUGAAUAAAUUUAAGGGGGCUAAUUAAUAUAUAAACUAGCCCAAUUUGUCAAGUUGAUUUGUAUUUUAGUUAAUUGUGAAAGUAAUUACCACAUGGUCAAAUUAACAGCUUUCUGGAAAUGACCAAGCCUGAGGUUUUAUUUCCUUCCUGGGUGAAGAAAAUUCAUUUUUCCAAGCUCUUGAUGUGAUGAAUAAAAGUCAUAAAUCUGGGUGAUUGGUGCAGGCAGAGUCUAAAUGGCUUCAUAUUUCAUUUUAGGUUUAAUAGAAAUAUUCAUGCUCUGUUUUAAUGAAAUUAAAUUGAAGGGGGAUGGGGCCGGGAGGUGGCAGUGGCCGGGGGCUUAAAGGGACAACGCACAUUUUCCUUCCCCGCCCCUGAGCCAGGGCGUUGGGGUCACCUCCGCCGGCGGCGGCCGAUGGGCUCACUCCUGCCAGCGGGAGCCGAGGGAUACCUGGGAGGGCCCUUCCUGCAGCCGCUCACCUGAAGCGCAGCCACCAGCAGCUGCAGCUUUUGCCACCUCAGCAACUACUAAAUAGACCAAUUAGUGCAGACUUCCUGCCAUUAUCGAACAUGGACUUGGACAUUAGUGCGCCACUAUUCAGCCAUAAUUUCGAGUCAGAAUGCGCUAAAAAAUUCACACACUGAAGCAUUCAAAUGUCCCUGAGCCACAUCUGUGUGUGUAUUUGUGCUUCUUCCCUGUGUGUUUCACCCACCCA